This is a long non-coding RNA of Herpailurus yagouaroundi (jaguarundi), 453 nucleotides long. RefSeq lists it as uncharacterized. Lineage: Eukaryota; Metazoa; Chordata; Mammalia; Carnivora; Felidae. The transcript is spliced from 3 exons. The record is from RefSeq and is a predicted model, not a curated record.
GGUUUUCUGUCCCUCCAGCUCUUAGCCCAGUGCGAGCCACCGAGAGAAACUUUUCUUUCCCCAGCUCAUCCCUGCUCCACGGGACUACGUCAGAGUCAUAGAGACAUGAUAUCUUCCGUGUUAAAAUAUAUGUUCAGGCAAGAUGGCAUAGCCCCGUUUUUCCUUGCUCCUCACGGCGACACACAACUACAGACCGUGGAAAUGGCAAAAGAGACAACCAAAGGAAAACCCCGGAAGGUGGUAAAAGGGGGAGAGAACUGUUUUCUGGGUGAAGCAGCCUGUGGCCAGAUUGGGAUCCAGAGCCCCACCUGCUCCAACAUCUACAAGGCAUCUACCCAGCACCCAGAGGAGAAGACUGGGUCGUGCUUGGGAAACUGCCAUGAUGGGGGCUGGGGGGGAAGGAGAGCCCGUGCAGCUAUCUUUCUUCCCACAGACAUUAUGGGACUCUAGAAA